This 289-nucleotide long non-coding RNA is filed under the name Sus scrofa (pig). RNAcentral describes it as "lncRNA (ENSSSCG00015067367.1)". Lineage: Eukaryota; Metazoa; Chordata; Mammalia; Artiodactyla; Suidae. The record is from RNAcentral.
UGCUGCGUUGUUGUAGGAGUUUUCCUGGAAGCAGAUGAUACCAUCCUGUACACGUGUGGCUGGGAGGCUUUAUUCACACUGAGGGGCCGAUCUGGCAGGCAGCCUUGACUCACUGGGCUACGCACAUGGACUGGAAUCUCAGACAUGGAAGCUUGCUUCUUGAGGAAAGGCAGCUUGAUGGAAUAGAUCGGGACGAGUGAGAUGUGGUCUGGGCUCCUCUGGCUGGAGAGCUUUUUAGGCACAAAGCAUUCCCCACAAGAAGAUGGAAAUAAAACAGAAUAACCGCACA